RNAcentral lists this ribosomal RNA (515 nucleotides) under Septoglomus africanum. RNAcentral's name for it is "LSU rRNA". It matches the Rfam family "Eukaryotic large subunit ribosomal RNA", at positions 255 to 648 of the family's 3401-position model. Lineage: Eukaryota; Fungi; Glomeromycota; Glomeromycetes; Glomerales; Glomeraceae. The record is from RNAcentral.
UUUUCAAGAGUCGAGUUGUUUGGGAUUGCAGCCCAAAAUGGGAGGUAAAUUUCUCCUAAAGCUAAAUAUUGGCGAGAGACCGAUAGCGAACAAGUACCGUGAGGGAAAGAUGAAAAGAACUUUGAAAAGAGAGUUAAACAGUACGUGAAAUUGUUGAAAGGGAAACGAUUGAAGUCAGUCGUACCAACGGGUAAUCAAUUCAUCGAGUGUUGAAUUUGGAUCUUAAAGAGUCUUAAAACCUUUGGGUUUCGGAUAUUUUCACUUUUUUGAACGUAUUUUCUCGUACGGUAGGUUAACAUCGAUUUUGAAGAUUAUAAAAUGAUCGGAGGAAUGUAGCUUCGAUCUCGUAUUGGAGUGUUAUAGCCUUUGGUAGAUGUAAUGAUCAAGAUCGAGGAUUGCAACGAAUACCCUUUUGGGCUAUCCGUCUGAUCUCUGAUACGUUGCCUCGGUAACGAAAGCGUGCUUACGGUAUUGAGGUAUUACGGUCAAAAGGUUAGAACGUGAUUACAUUCGUU